ACUAGAGGGUACUUGCCAUAGCUCAUACCAUGCUAUCUCCAAAAAUUAGAUGCUGCUCAGAGAUGGCCAAUGUGUGGGGGAAAUGAUGGAAGGUUGGCUGAGCAAGAUUUCAGAGAUCAUAGUCAAAGUGUUUCUGAAAGCUUCUCAGCUGCCAUUCUCUGUUGCUCAGCCAGAAGUUGCUGAAGUUCCUCUGUAGACAAUUCCUCCAAGUGUUCCUUCACCAGUUCCUCAACAUCACCACUGUCUAUCUGCAAGCCUAUGGAUGCUACUAUAGUGAAAAUGUCAUCAACCACUGGAUCAAAUGAAGGCUCAGGCUCCUCUACACAGCCUUCAGUCACUCUCCUAUAUAGUUUUAGGCCACACUUUCUUCCAGGCAGAUCUAAGUGUCCUUAGAGGGACACUGGCCCAGGAUUUCUCAAUUCACCCCAAACAGGAUAUACCAGUAUUUCAGUUGUAACUCAGGACUUUGGUCAUAAAUUAAAACUAAAAUUCUGGUCAGAACCCAAGUUGUUUGGCUGGCUGUAACUUGAGGGUCCACUGUUAAGGGAUAGAAAGGGCUGUGGUUGGCCCUUGUGCCUUUGCUACUUUUUGCCUGCCAUUAACUGUUUCCCCUUUGUGAUACCACCCUGCCUUGGAGCCAGCUGAUUGUAGACUGAAACCUCUACAAACUGUGAGCUAAAUAAACCUUUCCUUCCUUAACUUUGGGUGUCAGGUAUUUUGUCUCAGCAAUGAGAGAAAAGUAACUAAGACAGGCAGUGACAUGAUUUGAUGCUGAUGAUAUGUGCUAUGCGUAGUGCUUUAUUUAGGAUUUAGCUUGAAGUUAAAGCCAACAGGACUGGCCGUGGGAGGCAGGAGGAAAGAAAGAAUUUAAGUGUAACAGUUUAGAUCUGAAAUGUGCCCCCAACGCCUCAUGUGUGCAGAGGUGUGGCUUUUGGAAGGUGAUGGAUUAUGGUGACCAUAUAGCUGACAUGUUACUAGGAG
RNAcentral lists this long non-coding RNA (981 nucleotides) under Heterocephalus glaber (naked mole-rat). RNAcentral's name for it is "lncRNA (ENSHGLG00100037858.1)". Lineage: Eukaryota; Metazoa; Chordata; Mammalia; Rodentia; Bathyergidae. The record is from RNAcentral.